GGGACUGUAGCUCAGUGGUAGAGCCUCUGCUUUGGAUGCAGAAGGUCCCAGGUUCAAUCCCCAGCAGCUCCA
Molecule: non-coding RNA, 72 nt
Organism: Gekko japonicus
Lineage: Eukaryota; Metazoa; Chordata; Lepidosauria; Squamata; Gekkonidae
Source: the annotation of a RefSeq genome assembly